CCUACGGGGGGCAGCAGUGAGGAAUAUUGGUCAAUGGGCGAGAGCCUGAACCAGCCAAGUCGCGUGAAGGAUGACGGCCCUACGGGUUGUAAACUUCUUUUGUCAGGGAGCAAUUGGGUCCACGCGUGGGCUUAGCGAGAGUACCUGAAGAAAAAGCAUCGGCUAACUCCGUGCCAGCAGCCGCGGUAAUACGGAGGAUGCGAGCGUUAUCCGGAUUUAUUGGGUUUAAAGGGUGCGUUGGCGGAAUAUCAAGUCAGCGGUAAACAUUCGGGGCUCAACCCCGGCCUGCCGUCGGAACUGGGUGCCUUGAGUGGGCGAGAAGUAUGCGGAAUGCGUGGUGUAGCGGUGAAAUGCAUAGAUAUCACGCAGAACCCCGAUUGCGAAGGCAGCAUACCGGCGCCCUACUGACGCUGAGGCACGAAAGUGCGGGUAUCGAACAGGAUUAGAUACCCCUGUAGUC
RNAcentral lists this ribosomal RNA (460 nucleotides) under uncultured bacterium. RNAcentral's name for it is "partial 16S ribosomal RNA". It matches the Rfam family "Bacterial small subunit ribosomal RNA", at positions 338 to 795 of the family's 1533-position model. The record is from RNAcentral.